CCUGCCCCCUCCCCCGGGAUAGCCGCCCGAAAGGACGGGUAAUACCGGAUACCCCCGGGCGCCGCAUGGCGCCCGGGCUAAAGCCCCGACGGGAGGGGAUGGCUCCGCGGCCCAUCAGGUAGACGGCGGGGUGACGGCCCACCGUGCCGACAACGGGUAGCCGGGUUGAGAGACCGACCGGCCAGAUUGGGACUGAGACACGGCCCAGACUCCUACGGGAGGCAGCAGUGGGGAAUCUUGCGCAAUGGGGGGAACCCCGACGCAGCGACGCCGCGUGCGGGACGGAGGCCUUCGGGUCGUAAACCGCUUUCAGCAGGGAAGAGUCAAGACUGUACCUGCAGAAGAAGCCCCGGCUAACUACGUGCCAGCAGCCGCGGUAAUACGUAGGGGGCGAGCGUUAUCCGGAUUCAUUGGGCGUAAAGCGCGCGUAGGCGGCCCGGCAGGCCGGGGGUCGAAGCGGGGGGCUCAACCCCCCGAAGCCCCCGGAACCUCCGCGGCUUGGGUCCGGUAGGGGAGGGUGGAACACCCGGUGUAGCGGUGGAAUGCGCAGAUAUCGGGUGGAACACCGGUGGCGAAGGCGGCCCUCUGGGCCGAGACCGACGCUGAGGCGCGAAAGCUGGGGGAGCGAACAGGAUUAGAUACCCUGGUAGUCCCAGCCGUAAACGAUGGACGCUAGGUGUGGGGGGACGAUCUCCCCGUGCCGCAG
RNAcentral lists this ribosomal RNA (706 nucleotides) under uncultured bacterium. RNAcentral describes it as "partial 16S ribosomal RNA". It matches the Rfam family "Bacterial small subunit ribosomal RNA", at positions 125 to 851 of the family's 1533-position model. The record is from RNAcentral.